GAUGAACGCUGGCGGCAUGCCUAACACAUGCAAGUCGAUCGGUAAGGCUCUUCGGAGUACACGAGAGGCGGACGGCUGAGUAACGCGUAGGAACACACCCUGCAGUGAGGGAUAAGACACCGAAAGGUGUUCUAAUACCGCAUACGGUCUUCGGAUUAAAGCAUUUAUGCGCUGAAGGAGUGGCCUGCGUCAUAUUAGAUAGUUGGUGAGGUAAUGGCUCACCAAGUCGAUGAUGUGUAGCUGGUCUGAGAGGUUGAUCAGCCAGACUGGAACUGAGACACGGUCCAGACUCCUACGGGAGGCAGCAGUGAGGAAUAUUUCACAAUGAGCGAAAGCUUGAUGGAGCAAUGCCGCGUGCAGGAUGAAGGCCCUCGGGUUGUAAACUGCUUUUAUAAGAGAAGAUUAUGACGGUAACUUAUGAAUAAGGGACGGCUAACUACGUG
This 443-nucleotide ribosomal RNA is filed under the name uncultured bacterium. Its description in RNAcentral is "partial 16S ribosomal RNA". It matches the Rfam family "Bacterial small subunit ribosomal RNA", at positions 28 to 507 of the family's 1533-position model. The record is from RNAcentral.